GAUGAACGCUGGCGGCGUGCCUAAUACAUGCAAGUCGAGCGAACGGACGAGAGGCUUGCUUCUCUGAUGUUAGCGGCGGACGGGUGAGUAACACGUGGAUAACCUACCUAUAAGACUGGGAUAACUUCGGGAAACCGGAGCUAAUACCGGAUGAUAUUUUGAACCGCAUGGUUCAAAAGUGAAAGACGGUCUUGCUGUCACUUAUAGAUGGAUCCGCGCUGCAUUAGCUAGUUGGUAAGGUAACGGCUUACCAAGGCAACGAUGCAUAGCCGACCUGAGAGGGUGAUCGGCCACACCGGAACUGAGACACGGUCCAGACUCCUACGGGAGGCAGCAGUAGGGAAUCUUCCGCAAUGGGCGAAAGCCUGACGGAGCAACGCCGCGUGAGUGAUGAAGGUCUUCGGAUCGUAAAACUCUGUUAUUAGGGAAGAACAUAUGUGUAAGUAACUGUGCACAUCUUGACGGUACCUAAUCAGAAAGCCACGGCUAACUACGUG
This 497-nucleotide ribosomal RNA is filed under the name uncultured bacterium. RNAcentral's name for it is "partial 16S ribosomal RNA". It matches the Rfam family "Bacterial small subunit ribosomal RNA", at positions 28 to 507 of the family's 1533-position model. The record is from RNAcentral.